UACGGAGGGUGCAAGCGUUAUCCGGAUUCACUGGGCUUAAAGGGUGCGUAGGUGGGUCUGAGAGUCAGUGGUGAAAUCUCCGGGCUUAACCUGGAAACUGCCAUUGAUACUUCAGGUCUUGAAUUUUCUGGAGGUUAGCGGAAUAUGUCAUGUAGCGGUGAAAUGCUUAGAUAUGACAUAGAACACCAAGUGCGAAGGCAGCUAACUGCGGGGAUAUUGACGCUGAGGCACGAGAGCGUGGGGAUCAAACAGG
RNAcentral lists this ribosomal RNA (253 nucleotides) under uncultured bacterium. RNAcentral describes it as "partial 16S ribosomal RNA". It matches the Rfam family "Bacterial small subunit ribosomal RNA", at positions 524 to 776 of the family's 1533-position model. The record is from RNAcentral.